This 119-nucleotide ribosomal RNA is filed under the name Lederbergia citrea. RNAcentral's name for it is "partial 16S ribosomal RNA". It matches the Rfam family "Bacterial small subunit ribosomal RNA", at positions 1417 to 1533 of the family's 1533-position model. The record is from RNAcentral. Lineage: Bacteria; Bacillati; Bacillota; Bacilli; Caryophanales; Bacillaceae.
ACACCCGAAGUCGGUGGGGUAACCCUUACGGGAGCCAGCCGCCGAAGGUGGGACAGAUGAUUGGGGUGAAGUCGUAACAAGGUAGCCGUAUCGGAAGGUGCGGCUGGAUCACCUCCUUU